This is a non-coding RNA of Prunus avium (sweet cherry), 381 nucleotides long. NCBI's taxonomy places the organism in Eukaryota, Viridiplantae, Streptophyta, Magnoliopsida, Rosales, Rosaceae. The record is from RefSeq and is a predicted model, not a curated record.
AGUCCUUCUCAACUCCCCUUUGUGAAGCCAUAUACAGGACAAUAUGACGGGGAGGACAUUACUCACUGGCAGUAGCUCUGGCGACUUGUACCAUAUUCAAGCAGAUCCUACAAUCUCAGGGAAGCUAGUCUUUUAUGGUGAAAGGACUACCCAAGAUAUUUGGCAUACAAGACUUGGCCAUCCGUCUCAUGAUGUUUUUCGUAUUUUACUUAAUAAAUUUCACUUGCCUGUUAGUGGUAAGGUUGAUUCUCAUAAGGCUUGUCAUAUUUGCCCUUUGGGAAAAUCAUGUAGACUUCCCUUUUCCAAUCGUACUUUUUAUGCUCAUGAACCCCUUGCAGUACUUCAUCUAGAUUUAUGGGGACCAGCCCCAGUCUCCUCAAA